UUAAGCGACUAAGCGUACACGGUGGAUGCCCUGGCAGUCAGAGGCGAUGAAGGACGUGCUAAUCUGCGAAAAGCGUCGGUAAGGUGAUAUGAACCGUUAUAACCGGCGAUGUCCGAAUGGGGAAACCCAGUGCAAUUCGUUGCACUAUCGUUAACUGAAUACAUAGGUUAACGAGGCGAACCGGGGGAACUGAAACAUCUAAGUACCCCGAGGAAAAGAAAUCAACCGAGAUUCCCCCAGUAGCGGCGAGCGAACGGGGAGCAGCCCAGAGUCUGAAUCAGCUUGUGUGUUAGUGGAACGGUCUGGAAAGUCCGACGGUACAGGGUGAUAGUCCCGUACACCAAAAUGCACAGGCUGUGAACUCGAAGAGUAGGGCGGGACACGUGGUAUCCUGUCUGAAUAUGGGGGGACCAUCCUCCAAGGCUAAAUACUCCUGACUGACCGAUAGUGAACCAGUACCGUGAGGGAAAGGCGAAAAGAACCCCGGCGAGGGGAGUGAAAAAAGAACCUGAAACCGUGUACGUACAAGCAGUGGGAGCACCUUCGGGUGUGACUGCGUACCUUUUGUAUAAUGGGUCAGCGACUUAUAUUCUGUAGCAAGGUUAACCGUAUAGGGGAGCCGCAGGGAAACCGAGUCUUAACUGGGCGUUAAGUUGCAGGGUAUAGACCCGAAACCCGGUGAUCUAGCCAUGGGCAGGUUGAAGGUUGGGUAACACUAACUGGAGGACCGAACCGACUAAUGUUGAAAAAUUAGCGGAUGACUUGUGGCUGGGGGUGAAAGGCCAAUCAAACCGGGAGAUAGCUGGUUCUCCCCGAAAGCUAUUUAGGUAGCGCCUCGUGAACUCAUCUUCGGGGGUAGAGCACUGUUUCGGCUAGGGGGUCAUCCCGACUUACCAACCCGAUGCAAACUACGAAUACCGAAGAAUGUUAUCACGGGAGACACACGGCGGGUGCUAACGUCCGUCGUGAAGAGGGAAACAACCCAGACCGCCAGCUAAGGUCCCAAAGUCAUGGUUAAGUGGGAAACGAUGUGGGAAGGCACAGACAGCCAGGAUGUUGGCUUAGAAGCAGCCAUCAUUUAAAGAAAGCGUAAUAGCUCACUGGUCGAGUCGGCCUGCGCGGAAGAUGUAACGGGGCUAAACCAUGCACCGAAGCUGCGGCAGCGACACUAUGUGUUGUUGGGUAGGGGAGCGUUCUGUAAGCCUGCGAAGGUGACCUGUGAGGGUUGCUGGAGGUAUCAGAAGUGCGAAUGCUGACAUAAGUAACGAUAAAGCGGGUGAAAAGCCCGCUCGCCGGAAGACCAAGGGUUCCUGUCCAACGUUAAUCGGGGCAGGGUGAGUCGACCCCUAAGGCGAGGCCGAAAGGCGUAGUCGAUGGGAAACAGGUUAAUAUUCCUGUACUUGGUGUUACUGCGAAGGGGGGACGGAGAAGGCUAUGUUAGCCGGGCGACGGUUGUCCCGGUUUAAGCAUGUAGGCUGGUUAUCCAGGCAAAUCCGGAUAAUCAAGGCUGAGGUGUGAUGACGAGGCACUACGGUGCUGAAGUAACAAAUGCCCUGCUUCCAGGAAAAGCCUCUAAGCAUCAGGUAACAUCAAAUCGUACCCCAAACCGACACAGGUGGUCAGGUAGAGAAUACCAAGGCGCUUGAGAGAACUCGGGUGAAGGAACUAGGCAAAAUGGUGCCGUAACUUCGGGAGAAGGCACGCUGGUGUGUAGGUGAAGUCCCUGCGGAUGGAGCUGAGACCAGUCGAAGAUACCAGCUGGCUGCAACUGUUUAUUAAAAACACAGCACUGUGCAAACACGAAAGUGGACGUAUACGGUGUGACGCCUGCCCGGUGCCGGAAGGUUAAUUGAUGGGGUUAUCCGUAAGGAGAAGCUCUUGAUCGAAGCCCCGGUAAACGGCGGCCGUAACUAUAACGGUCCUAAGGUAGCGAAAUUCCUUGUCGGGUAAGUUCCGACCUGCACGAAUGGCGUAAUGAUGGCCAGGCUGUCUCCACCCGAGACUCAGUGAAAUUGAACUCGCUGUGAAGAUGCAGUGUACCCGCGGCAAGACGGAAAGACCCCGUGAACCUUUACUAUAGCUUGACACUGAACAUUGAGCCUUGAUGUGUAGGAUAGGUGGGAGGCUUUGAAGCGUGGACGCCAGUCUGCGUGGAGCCAACCUUGAAAUACCACCCUUUAAUGUUUGAUGUUCUAACGUUGGCCCCUUACCGGGGUUGCGGACAGUGUCUGGUGGGUAGUUUGACUGGGGCGGUCUCCUCCCAAAGCGUAACGGAGGAGCACGAAGGUUAGCUAAUCCUGGUCGGACAUCAGGAGGUUAGUGCAAUGGCAUAAGCUAGCUUGACUGCGAGCGUGACGGCGCGAGCAGGUGCGAAAGCAGGUCAUAGUGAUCCGGUGGUUCUGAAUGGAAGGGCCAUCGCUCAACGGAUAAAAGGUACUCCGGGGAUAACAGGCUGAUACCGCCCAAGAGUUCAUAUCGACGGCGGUGUUUGGCACCUCGAUGUCGGCUCAUCACAUCCUGGGGCUGAAGUAGGUCCCAAGGGUAUGGCUGUUCGCCAUUUAAAGUGGUACGCGAGCUGGGUUUAGAACGUCGUGAGACAGUUCGGUCCCUAUCUGCCGUGGGCGCUGGAGAAUUGAGGGGGGCUGCUCCUAGUACGAGAGGACCGGAGUGGACGCAUCACUGGUGUUCGGGUUGUCAUGCCAAUGGCACUGCCCGGUAGCUAAAUGCGGAAGAGAUAAGUGCUGAAAGCAUCUAAGCACGAAACUUGCCCCGAGAUGAGUUCUCCCUGAGACUUUAAGUCUCCUGAAGGAACGUUAAAGACGAUGACGUUGAUAGGCCGGGUGUGUAAGCGCAGCGAUGCGUUGAGCUAACCGGUACUAAUGAACCGUGAGGCUUAACCUU
RNAcentral lists this ribosomal RNA (2901 nucleotides) under Klebsiella pneumoniae. RNAcentral describes it as "23S ribosomal RNA". It matches the Rfam family "Bacterial large subunit ribosomal RNA". Lineage: Bacteria; Pseudomonadati; Pseudomonadota; Gammaproteobacteria; Enterobacterales; Enterobacteriaceae. The record is from RNAcentral.